RNAcentral lists this ribosomal RNA (480 nucleotides) under uncultured bacterium. Its description in RNAcentral is "SSU rRNA". It matches the Rfam family "Bacterial small subunit ribosomal RNA", at positions 26 to 518 of the family's 1533-position model. The record is from RNAcentral.
AGGACGAACGCUGGCGGCGUGCUUAACACAUGCAAGUCGAGCGAGGCGCCUCCUUCGGGAGGAUGCCCUAGCGGCGAACGGGUGAGUAACACGUGGGCAACCUGCCCCUAGCACUGGGAUAACCCCGGGAAACCGGGGCUAAUACCGGAUACGACUUCGGAAGGCAUCUUCUGAAGUGGAAAAGGUUACUGGCUAGGGAUGGGCCCGCGGCCUAUCAGCUUGUUGGUGGGGUAAUGGCCCACCAAGGCGACGACGGGUAGCCGGCCUGAGAGGGCGACCGGCCACACUGGGACUGAGACACGGCCCAGACUCCUACGGGAGGCAGCAGUGGGGAAUAUUGCACAAUGGGCGAAAGCCUGAUGCAGCGACGCCGCGUGAGGGAUGGACGGCCUUCGGGUUGUAAACCUCUUUCAGCAGGGACGAAGCGAAAGUGACGGUACCUGCAGAAGAAGCACCGGCCAACUACGCGCCAGCAGCCGC